AGAGAGAGAGACCUAUAAUGGAAAUGGAGAAGAAAAUUUAGAAGGACCUCAACUUUGAGAUUGUUUAAUAGCCUUCAUUCAGCGAUUCAGUCUAAUUGAUGACAGUGCAAGUCAACAACAUCAUUUAUUUAUUUAGCUAUGCCCAAUUUGAAAGCAGCACAAUGUUGCUAGUAGGGUAAGUGCCUUGCCCAAGGGCACAACCAGGAAUACCCAGUCAGUCCUGGAAUUCGAACCCACGACCUUCCGGUUGCUGGCUCACCUCUCCUACUAUUACAACUGUAAUCCAAUUCUUGCAACGAAUGUUCAUUUAAUAAUGUACAAAUGUCCCAGCAAAAUGCUUUGAUUGUUCUUAAGAUGUACAAAUGAAACUGACAAGGCCUUCAUUGUUUUCAUCUUUGAAAAGUCUGGACAUC
Molecule: long non-coding RNA, 413 nt
Organism: Colossoma macropomum (tambaqui)
Lineage: Eukaryota; Metazoa; Chordata; Actinopteri; Characiformes; Serrasalmidae
Exons: 3
Source: RefSeq, a predicted model, not a curated record